This 497-nucleotide ribosomal RNA is filed under the name uncultured bacterium. Its description in RNAcentral is "partial 16S ribosomal RNA". It matches the Rfam family "Bacterial small subunit ribosomal RNA", at positions 28 to 507 of the family's 1533-position model. The record is from RNAcentral.
GAUGAACGCUGGCGGCGUGCCUAAUACAUGCAAGUCGAGCGAACGGACGAGAAGCUUGCUUUUCUGAUGUUAGCGGCGGACGGGUGAGUAACACGUGGAUAACCUACCUAUAAGACUGGGAUAACUUCGGGAAACCGGAGCUAAUACCGGAUAAUAUUUUGAACCGCAUGGUUCAAAAGUGAAAGACGGUCUUGCUGUCACUUAUAGAUGGAUCCGCGCUGCAUUAGCUAGUUGGUAAGGUAACGGCUUACCAAGGCAACGAUGCAUAGCCGACCUGAGAGAGUGAUGGGCCACACGGGAAAUGAGACACGGUCGCGAGUACUACGGGCGGACGCAGGCGGGAAUAUUGCGGAAAGGAGGAAAGCCUGAUGGAGCAAAGCCGCGUGAAUGAUGAAGGUCUUCGGAUCGUAAAACGCUGUUAGUAGGGAAAAACAUAAAUGUAAGGAACUGUGCACAUAUUGACGGGACCUAAUCAGAAAGCCACGGCUAACUACGUG